Molecule: transfer RNA, 102 nt
Filed under: Gammaproteobacteria bacterium
Lineage: Bacteria; Pseudomonadati; Pseudomonadota; Gammaproteobacteria
Description: tRNA-Val
Rfam family: tRNA
About the family: Transfer RNA (tRNA) molecules are approximately 80 nucleotides in length. Their secondary structure includes four short double-helical elements and three loops (D, anti-codon, and T loops).
Source: RNAcentral
GCCGAUGUGGUGGAACUAGCAGACGCAGCGGACUCACACUCCGCCGGCCCCUACGCAAUCAACGCGUAUGCCGUGAGGGUUCGAGUCCCUCCAUCGGCACCA